AGAACAUCUUCAUCCUAAAUCUUCUCUCCCAGCAUGUAUUCAUAAUCUUGACCUGCGUUUCGAGUAGAAGCCAAUUCUUGUAGAGUGUGCCUGGGCUCAGCCUAGGCUCCUCACUCAUGGUGAGAUUCAGGCUAUGCAUUUUUGGCGGGAGCACCCCCGAAAAGUGAUGUUGUGUCAUCUUCAGUACAUCGUCUCCGGAAGCCCUCAAGGUCAAUUUGUCUCAUUGCUAGUGGUGGUAAUUUAGACACUUGAUGAAGAAGAUGCUGUCGGCCGGAUUUCUCCACUGUAAAGCUAUUAUUUUCCCCUUUGUAGUAAAUAAGUAUUAACAGUACAAUACUUUGAUGCCAUGAAAAUACUCUUUUUUCUCAUCCACCUUUCAUCUGCUGGUUUCAGCAUUUGUUGAAGAUCCCCCCUCCUUCGUUAAUUGUUAGUUACUACAGUAAUUGCCAAAGGGUAGUUUUUGAAUACAUCUUGCCUUUAUUUAUUGGCUGACAUUCUCCUCCAAGAAAGAUUUUCAUCUUCUCCCGUAUUAAUUUAUUUGCUUAUUUAUUUUUAAAUAAUACUACAGACACGGAUUC
RNAcentral lists this long non-coding RNA (578 nucleotides) under Homo sapiens (human). RNAcentral describes it as "HSALNT0122674". The record is from RNAcentral. Lineage: Eukaryota; Metazoa; Chordata; Mammalia; Primates; Hominidae.